CAUUUUUUUACAUAAAUAAGGCCGUUAGUUUUCUCGUUUGGAUUGUUUUACAUUGUCUUAUCGGGGCCUAUUAUAGCUGACUAUGUGGUAUGGGCUUUGCUCAUUGUUGAAGGCCGUACGGUGACCUAUAGUUGUUAAUGUCUGUGUCAUUUUGGUCUUUGUGGAUAGUUGUCUCAUUGGCAAUCAUACCACAUCUUCUUUUUUAUAU
RNAcentral lists this long non-coding RNA (208 nucleotides) under Mytilus galloprovincialis (Mediterranean mussel). The record is from RNAcentral. Lineage: Eukaryota; Metazoa; Mollusca; Bivalvia; Mytilida; Mytilidae.